Molecule: long non-coding RNA, 473 nt
Filed under: Suricata suricatta (meerkat)
Lineage: Eukaryota; Metazoa; Chordata; Mammalia; Carnivora; Herpestidae
Description: lncRNA (ENSSSUG00005014155.1)
Source: RNAcentral
GAGAAACCGCAUGUCCUUGGGUGUCCGCCAGCGCCCGGGUGCUUGCCGGGGAGCGAGCGUGUGUGUGUGUGUGCGCGGAUGUAGAUACGUGUCUGUGCGCGCCUUUGCGUGUGUGUGCGUGCGUGCCUGGGAGCGCGUGCCUGUGCAGGGCAGGGUAGAAGAAUGGGAGCAGCUGAUGUGAAAGCUGCACCUUUGCUGGUUACAGCGCGUCAUUAUUUUUUAUCAGAUGUAUCCUGUUUAGCAAUCUCAUUGUUUAAACAAAAAUUCGAAGCCAUAUGGCAAAGGUGGGGGCGGGGGGAGGCGUUAAAAUUUUGCAGAAAUUGAAUGGGCAAAAGAACGAUUCUGAAUGGUGGUUAAAAAUGAGAACAUAUGGACAGGAUGGAUACACUCCAACUUCAUGUUGGGGUUCAUCUCUCAGGAGAGAGGCCAUGGAUAGUAUCUGUGAAUGGUUUAAAGGUGGAGCCUGUUAUAUU